GACGAACGCUGGCGGCGUGCUUAACACAUGCAAGUCGAACGGAAAGGCCCCUUUGGGGGUCCUCGAGUGGCGAACGGGUGAGUAACACGUGAGUAACCUGCCCUUGACUUCGGGAUAACUUCAGGAAACUGGGGCUAAUACCGGAUAGGAAUCCUUGCUUCAUGGUGGGGGUUGGAAAGCUUCGGCGGUUUUGGAUGGACUCGCGGCUUAUCAGCUUGUUGGUGGGGUAGUGGCUUACCAAGGCUUUGACGGGUAGCCGGCCUGGGAGGGCGACCGGCCACAUUGGGACUGAGAUACGGCCCAGACUCCGACGGGAGGCAGCAGUGGGGAAUAUUGCACAAUGGGCGGAAGCCUGAUGCAGCAACGCCGCGGGCGGGAUGACGGCCUUCGGGUUGUAAACCGCUUUCAGCAGGGGCGAAGCUUGUGGUGACGGUACCUGCAGAAGAAGCACCGGCUAACUACGUG
This 465-nucleotide ribosomal RNA is filed under the name uncultured bacterium. RNAcentral's name for it is "partial 16S ribosomal RNA". It matches the Rfam family "Bacterial small subunit ribosomal RNA", at positions 28 to 507 of the family's 1533-position model. The record is from RNAcentral.